AUCGCUUCUCGGCCUUUUGGCUAAGAUCAAAGUGUAGUAUCUGUUCUCGGUAGUGUGACAACUACCGCGACCCCCAUUGGGGGUCCGAUUGUCACUGGAAUUUUUGCAACGCGGUGGGGCUCUGGGGCUCGCUCCAUCCUUGCCUGGGUUGGCUCGGUAUUGCAGUAUCUCCGGGAUCGGCCCGUCCCUU
Molecule: small nuclear RNA, 190 nt
Organism: Ramazzottius varieornatus
Lineage: Eukaryota; Metazoa; Tardigrada; Eutardigrada; Parachela; Ramazzottiidae
Rfam family: U2 spliceosomal RNA
About the family: U2 is a small nuclear RNA (snRNA) component of the spliceosome (involved in pre-mRNA splicing).
Source: Rfam